Molecule: non-coding RNA, 1626 nt
Organism: Caretta caretta (loggerhead turtle)
Lineage: Eukaryota; Metazoa; Chordata; Testudines; Cheloniidae
Source: RefSeq, a predicted model, not a curated record
AGUUUCACAGUAAAACUGUAAAUUCAAGAUUUUUUUUUUAACUGAAAAAAACACUUCACGAGUAUUAGCACGAUAGUGCUUGUGCUCUGUUUAUUGUUUCAUUUAUACAAAGACUUCAAAGAACUUCUCAAAGGUGGCUACACAGUAUCCCCAAAUUAGAUUAGAUAACUCUCAUAGCAAUUUAGUGGCUGAGCUGGCCAUAGAAUGCAAGAAUCCUGAAUCCAAGUCUGCUGCUGUAACCAAUAGGCCACACUGCCUCCCUUAUGAAGUUUGAUUUCUGCGCUAGACAACCCUGAAAGAUACAGGUGACUGGUAACAGAAUAUGGAGCCUCAUUAUUAGGUUGCCAGGUAAGCUCAGGGCAAUGGUGACUGAAAGUGUUUUCUUUAUAGGUGAAAUGAGGUAGUGGUCUCAGCCCAAUUUGUAUUUCCCAGCUAAAAGGCUACCAUACCAGGUGGCUCCAGUGUUGGCAUCCAAGAGCGCACAAUGGCUAAAUGAAGCUAAACAACCUUCUUCCUUUCCAAAUGUUCUCUUCAGCAGGAGACAUUUUAGCAUCUGAAGCUGGCUGACUUUUGGUUUAUAAAUGUGUUCCCAUCCAGAGUGACUGUGAUGUAUGUGAAAGUAACAGCCAUUGAAACAACAAACAACCAGCUUUCCCAGGCUUGGCCACAGAUGGGGAAACUGAGGACCAUGUCACGGAGCAAAGCAGUGGCAGAACCAGGAUUAAAACUCAGGAGUCCCGUCAUCCUCUCAUAACAGCAGAACAUAAGACCGGCCAUACUGGGUCAGACCAAAGGUCCAUCUAGCCCAGUAUCCUGUCUUCUGACAGUGGCCAAUGCCAGGUGCUUCAGAGGGAAUGAAUAGAACAGGUCAUCAUCAAGUGAUCCAUCCCCUGUCGCCCAGCCCAUUCCCAGCUUCUGGCAAACAGAAGCUAGGGAUACCACGCUGCCCAUCCUGGCUAAUAGCCACUGAUGGACCUAGCCUUCAUGAAUUUAUCUAGUUCUUUUUCUAACCCUGUUAUCGUCUUGUCUUUCAUAACAUCCUCUGUCAAAGAGUUCCACAGGUUGACUGUGCGUUGUGUGAAGAAAUACUUCCUUUUGUUUGUUUUAAACCUGCUGCCUAUUCAUUUCAUUUGGUGACCCCUAAUUCUUGUGUUAUGAGAAGGAGUAAAUAACAUUUCCUUAUUUACUUUCUCCACACCAGUCAUGAUUUUAUAGACCUCUAUCAUAUCCCCCCCCUUAGUCGUCUCUUUUCCAAGCUGAAAACUCCCAAUCUCCCCUCCUCUUACCACCAUAAUGGGACAACAUCGUUUUGAUCCCAGAGACGUUUUCCCUUUGUGUAGUGCAAGUGUCACUUUUUAGACAUAAAACAGAAGCUCUGUAAAUGAGAAACUUUGGCUGGCGUGUUUAAUGACCGAUUACUUUUUCCUUUUGUGGCGGAUUUCUUUCCGUUGUUGUACUCGUCACCAUGUGUGAUUACAGCUGCCUGAAAUGCCACUGCUUUCUGAGGCAGGUCCAGGCAGCAGCCGGAAUGCGGAAAAUACAUCACUGCAGAUUAUGGUACAGUGAGUUCCUUAGGGAACACAAUCAGUUCUCUAACUCUUGUAGUGAGGGCCUAUUAACAGGACA